CUGGUAUGGAUUUCAACUUGAAAUUUGCCUUUGGCAUUCCAUUAUUGUGAAACAUUGACAAAUUUCAUACGGAGAAAGUUCUAGAUCCUUCUGUUUUAGAAUGUGAGGAGGACACAGCCAUAGCAUUUAUCCAGCCUACAAACUAAGGGGCGUUUGAUGAAAACAAUUAAAACUGUAUUGCGGAUCCAAUAUACAUACUGCUGUAUAAUGAAAUUGCUGUGUCUCUCCUUUAGCCUUCACAGAUCAGAAGCAGUCCAGACUCCCAGGAGCCUGCAUACCACAGCUGAAGAUACUCUAGAAGCAGCGACUCAUACAGCUGAAGGAAGAAAACUAUACCCUGCUGUACUGACUUGGGACAGCUCUGCCUUCUUUACAGAACCAAACAGCAUCUCUCCACAAGAUCAUCCAAGGAACAACAGAGAAUGCUAAGGGAAGGGUAGAUGCAGAGUUCUUUGAAAGCCUGCAAUUGUGUCACUACAGAAUUUGUUUUUGCCUCUGUCCUCCAAG
This 507-nucleotide long non-coding RNA is filed under the name Anser brachyrhynchus (Pink-footed goose). Its description in RNAcentral is "lncRNA (ENSABRG00000020069.1)". The record is from RNAcentral. Lineage: Eukaryota; Metazoa; Chordata; Aves; Anseriformes; Anatidae.